This 89-nucleotide ribosomal RNA is filed under the name Sus scrofa (pig). Lineage: Eukaryota; Metazoa; Chordata; Mammalia; Artiodactyla; Suidae. The record is from RNAcentral.
GUCCACAGCCAUACCACAUGGAACAUGCCCAAUCUCAUCCGAUCUUGGAAGAAUCAGUGGUAUAGAGCCUGUAUGAGCAGUUUUUAACU